CUGGCGCACAUAAGGUGUGACCUUUUCAUUCCCGUUGUUAUGGAGGUAGGCUCUCUAGGAAUCUGGGAGUAGUAGCUGGGGGGCAAGAGCAAAUAAAGAGCUCGAGCUUCUGUGGUCUCUGGGGAGAUGUUCCCGGGAAGCCUGUCUAGAGGGCGGAGGGCAGCUGUUGAGAUGGCGUGGCUCCCCGGCUCCUGCGCCCGCGUGGCUUUCGCGGCGGGCGCUGCGGCCCGGUAUUGGACAGCCUGGCAGGGCAGCGCGGGGCCGAAUCCGGCUGCCGUGGCUGAGGCUCAUGGAUCACUCUUUUGUGGUAGGGCCACAUCUGCCAGAGCCUGGAGUCUGCGAAGGCCGGGACCCGGUUCCCCGGCCCACAGUGGGGGUGUGCAAACCCGAGAGAACUGGGUAAGUUGGGGUCGGCUUGCAGUUUGGGGUACCCCGAGGGCGGUGUACGUCGGUAAGAUUGUAACAGUAUUACUGGAAGACUUAUUCGACUGUCCUGAUGAUACUUGUAAUAGGAAGUGCCGUCAGAAGCGAUAACUGACGACGUCUAAUGUCUAUCUGACCGCAGUCGCUGAAACCUCUACAACUUAGUUGACCGUAACUGCCAGAGCCCUGCCCUGAAUUCCUGUCCUUACUCCCUCUUUAAGAUUGCGUACCCACUGCAGAGUGCUGAAGACGGGGUAGCCACGAGGUGAGAGGCUCUCUGGUGUAGGGUUUAACAUGGAACGUAGUUUUGUCACUUGAAUGCACGGAAAUUGGCGUUUUGACAGUUUUCUACGUUUAGGUGUUUUAUACACUUUAGGGUAACGUUAUCAUGUCAUUGCAUAGGGUGGAACUUAAAUAGAAACUGGAGAUGGCUGCUUCAGCCACAGUCCUAACCUAGAACUGCAUUUAAAGCAAACUGAUAAUGCAGAAACAAACUCCUUCGUUAAGAAAUGUCUCCAGUAGCAGGGUUAGCUUAAGUUUCAGGUAGGGUCUAGAUCUGCGGUUGGAACAGUACUGGAGGGUUGUGAGGUGCUUGACUGCUCUGAUGAAAUCACUAAUAGGAAGUGCCGUCAGAAGCGAUAACUGACGAAGACUACUCCUGUCUGAUUGCAGUCAAGUCUUCACCACUUGCUGGUUCCCAGGAGUAAACUUGUUUGAACGGUGACCUAAUUGCUAUAUUCACCUAGGUUGCAAAUUCGUGAAGAAUCAGCAUCAUGUUUGGCAGCUGAGUAUUGGAGCCAGGAGCCUGCCAUGAGGUUUUGAGAACAGAGUGCUGUUUUAGAGCUGGCAGCAGCAUCUCAGCCCAAGAGAAGGUUAUAUUCCCAGAGGAUGUCAGUCCCAAGGACCAGUAGCUGCCAUCAGUUUGGAUUCUGAAAACUAACUGGCAUCAACACUGGGUGUAGAAACAUGCUUGCCUUAUGUAUCAGAGGACAUGCUCAGCAGAUCCAAGAGAUAUAUUUGGCAACUUUUUCUAGAAAAGGCACAUUGGGUAUCAUUCAUUACAUUCUUGAGUUUUUUUGGGUUUUUUUUUUUUUUUUUGAGACAGUCUUGCUGUAUUGCCCAGGCUGGAGUGUGGUGGCACAAUCACAGCUCAUUGCAUCCUCAAUCACCCAGGCCUAAGCAAUCCUCCCACCUUGUAGCUGGGACUACAGCUCACAGCACACCUGGCUAAAAUUUUUUUUUUGUUGAGACGGAUUCUCUAUGUUGCCCAGGCUGGUCUCAGGCUCCUGGGCUCAGAUGGUCCUCCUGCCUCAGCUUCCAAAGGCACAGGCCAAGUUGUAGCUUUGUCCCUUGCCAUCAUGCCCAACAAGAGGUUCUAUACCUUUUAAUGAAUUGACUUUCAUAAAUUGGUUAUGUUGGUGGGCAAAGUUCUUUAAGCUGGAAAUUGUAAAUUCCUCCUGAAAUGUUUUUUCAUGCAGUUACCAUGAACUAAUACUACAAUAAAGGA
Long non-coding RNA from Homo sapiens (human), 1930 nucleotides. Ensembl annotates it as small nucleolar RNA host gene 29. Its record names the gene SNHG29. Lineage: Eukaryota; Metazoa; Chordata; Mammalia; Primates; Hominidae. The record is from Ensembl.